CAGGACGAACGCUGGCGGCGUGCCUAAUACAUGCAAGUCGAACGGUCUUUUCUAUGGAAGCUUGCUUCCACUGAGAAGAUAGUGGCGAACGGGUGAGUAACACGUGGGUAACCUGCCCAUAAGAGGGGGGAUAACAUCCGGAAACGGGUGCUAAUACCGCAUAGUUUUCUUGAUCGCAUGAUCGGGAAAGGAAAGACGGCCUUUGUGCUGUCGCUUAUGGAUGGACCCGCGGCGUAUUAGUUAGUUGGUGAGGUAAUGGCUCACCAAGACGAUGAUACGUAGCCGACCUGAGAGGGUGAUCGGCCACAUUGGGACUGAGACACGGCCCAAACUCCUACGGGAGGCAGCAGUAGGGAAUCUUCCGCAAUGGACGAAAGUCUGACGGAGCAACGCCGCGUGAGUGAAGAAAGGUUUUCGGAUCGUAAAACUCUGUUGUCAGAGAAGGACAAGUUGGAGAGUAACUGCUCCAGCCUUGACGGUAUCUGACCAGAAAGCCACGGCUAACUACGUGCCAGCCGCCGC
Molecule: ribosomal RNA, 522 nt
Filed under: uncultured bacterium
Lineage: Bacteria
Description: bacterial SSU rRNA
Rfam family: Bacterial small subunit ribosomal RNA
Source: RNAcentral